UAGUUGGUGGGGUAAAGGCCUACCAAGGCGACGAUCAGUAGGGGGUCUGAGAGGAUGAUCCGCCACACUGGGACUGAGACACGGCCCAGACUCCUAUGGGAGGCAGCAGUGGGGAAUUUUGGACAAUGGGGGCAACCCUGAUCCAGCCAUUCCGCGUGAGUGAAGAAGGCCUUCGGGUUGUAAAGCUCUUUCAGCUGGAACGAAACGGUACGUCCUAAUACGGUGUGCUAAUGACGGUACCAGCAGAAGAAGCACCGGCUAACUACGUGCCAGCAGCCGCGGUAAUACGUAGGGCGCGAGCGUUAAUCGGAAUUACUGGGCGUAAAGCGUGCGCAGGCGGAUUGUUAAGCAAGAUGUGAAAUCCCCGGGCUUAACCUGGGAAUGGCAUUUUGAACUGGCAGUCUAGAGUGUGUCAGAGGGGGGUGGAAUUCCACGUGUAGCAGUGAAAUGCGUAGAGAUGUGGAGGAACACCAAUGGCGAAGGCAGCCCCCUGGGAUAACACUGACGCUCAUGUACGAAAGCGUGGGUAGCAAACAGGAUUAGAUACCCUGGUAGUCCACGCCCUAAACGAUGUCAACUGGUUGUUGGGGGAGUGAAAUCCCUUAGUAACGAAGCUAACGCGUGAAGUUGACCGCCUGGGGAGUACGGUCGCAAGAUUAAAACUCAAAGGAAUUGACGGGGACCCGCACAAGCGGUGGAUGAUGUGGAUUAAUUCGAUGCAACGCGAAAAACCUUACCUACCCUUGACAUGUCCAGAAUCCUGCAGAGAUGCGGGAGUGCCCGAAAGGGAAUUGGAACACAGGUGCUGCAUGGCUGUCGUCAGCUCGUGUCGUGAGAUGUUGGGUUAAGUCCCGCAACGAGCGCAACCCUUAUCAUUAGUUGCUACGCAAGGGCACUCUAAUGAGACUGCCGG
RNAcentral lists this ribosomal RNA (913 nucleotides) under uncultured bacterium. RNAcentral describes it as "bacterial SSU rRNA". It matches the Rfam family "Bacterial small subunit ribosomal RNA", at positions 246 to 1155 of the family's 1533-position model. The record is from RNAcentral.